This is a non-coding RNA of 1185 nucleotides. It matches the Rfam family "Bacterial small subunit ribosomal RNA", at positions 345 to 1533 of the family's 1533-position model.
GAGGCAGCAGUAGGGAAUUUUCGGCAAUGGGGGAAACCCUGACCGAGCAACGCCGCGUGAGGGAAGAAGUAUUUCGGUAUGUAAACCUCUGUUAUAAAGGAAGAACGGUAUGAAUAGGAAAUGAUUCAUAAGUGACGGUACUUUAUGAGAAAGCCACGGCUAACUACGUGCCAGCAGCCGCGGUAAUACGUAGGUGGCGAGCGUUAUCCGGAAUCAUUGGGCGUAAAGAGGGAGCAGGCGGCAAUAGAGGUCUGCGGUGAAAGCCUGAAGCUAAACUUCAGUAAGCCGUGGAAACCAAAUAGCUAGAGUGCAGUAGAGGAUCGUGGAAUUCCAUGUGUAGCGGUGAAAUGCGUAGAUAUAUGGAGGAACACCAGUGGCGAAGGCGACGAUCUGGGCUGCAACUGACGCUCAGUCCCGAAAGCGUGGGGAGCAAAUAGGAUUAGAUACCCUAGUAGUCCACGCCGUAAACGAUGAGUACUAAGUGUUGGGGGUCAAACCUCAGUGCUGCAGUUAACGCAAUAAGUACUCCGCCUGAGUAGUACGUUCGCAAGAAUGAAACUCAAAGGAAUUGACGGGGGCCCGCACAAGCGGUGGAGCAUGUGGUUUAAUUCGAAGCAACGCGAAGAACCUUACCAGGUCUUGACAUACCUCUAAAGGCUCUAGAGAUAGAGAGAUAGCUAUAGGGGAUACAGGUGGUGCAUGGUUGUCGUCAGCUCGUGUCGUGAGAUGUUGGGUUAAGUCCCGCAACGAGCGCAACCCUUGUCGCUAGUUACCAUCAUUAAGUUGGGGACUCUAGCGAGACUGCCUCUGCAAGGAGGAGGAAGGCGGGGAUGACGUCAAAUCAUCAUGCCCCUUAUGACCUGGGCUACACACGUGCUACAAUGGACGGAUCAAAGGGAAGCGAAGCCGCGAGGUGGAGCGAAACCCAAAAACCCGUUCUCAGUUCGGACUGCAGUCUGCAACUCGACUGCACGAAGUUGGAAUCGCUAGUAAUCGCGAAUCAGAAUGUCGCGGUGAAUACGUUCUCGGGCCUUGUACACACCGCCCGUCACACCAUGAGAGUUGGUAACACCCGAAGCCGGUGGCUUAACCGCAAGGAGAGAGCUGUCUAAGGUGGGACUGAUGAUUAGGGUGAAGUCGUAACAAGGUAUCCCUACGGGAACGUGGGGAUGGAUCACCUCCUUU